Callorhinus ursinus (northern fur seal) is the source of this 1758-nucleotide non-coding RNA. The record is from RefSeq and is a predicted model, not a curated record. Lineage: Eukaryota; Metazoa; Chordata; Mammalia; Carnivora; Otariidae.
CUCAUGACCCCAAGAUCAGGAGUCUCAAGCUCUACCAACUGAGCCAGCCAGGAGCCCCUGCUUUGUAGAGGUUUUAAUGGGAAAUUCCAAGCACACACAAAAGCAGGACGGUAUAGUGGGCCCCACUUACUUACCCCACCCCCAGCUUCAACAAUUAGCAAUUCUGGCCAGUCCAACUCCACUGAUACACUGACCCUCUUCUCUACACCUCCUAGAUUAUUUUGAAGCAAAUUAUAGCUAUUGCAGUGUGGAUCUCUAAUAGAUAAGGACUCUUCUUAAAAAACUUAUUUACGAUGCAUUAUCAUCUCUAAAAAAUUAGGUUGUUCCUUAAUAUCAUCAAAGGGCAGUGUUUACAUUUCAAAAUUAAAUUUGCCUUGCAGAUACCCUUUUUAGAGUUGAUUCAUUGCUUUGUGGUUUUAAAGAGACCAAACGGCUUUCCCCAGAACUGACCUGGUAAGUUCAUUCUCAGCCACAAUGAGAUCUUAAAGAAGUUAAAGUUUCUUCAUCUGAGAAUGACUGAAAUCAGGCAGGUUGCUCUUAAAGUUCCAUUCCUGCUCAGAUAUUUUCUGGAGGGUUUCUGAGGAGCCCCCUUGCCUUCUGUGACCCCCGUCGCUGUGUGGUGAUGAACGUCAGUCCUGAAAUGCCAGUGAGCUGAUUGAAAUCCUAAUUUGAGAGGCUCCACUUCAGUGCUGGAACUCACCAACAAGAGCGUCUCCAUUCUCCCUCUUGGUUAUUGGAAUAGCAGCCACACUUCCUUGUCUGAGGGGGACGUGUCCCAAGCCCCCCCAGCGGAUGCCUGGAUCCACAGAGAGUACCCACCCCAUGCAGACGAUGUGUUUUCCUGCACAUGCACACCUAGGAUCAUGCAUACCUACGUAUAAGUUAGACACAGCAGGAGAUGAAAACAAUAACUCGUCCUAAAAUAGAACAAUUAUAACAAUGCACUGUAACAAAAGUUACGUCAGUGUGGCCUCUCUGUCAAAAUACCUUAUUGUGAUAUUUCUUCUUCUUCCCGUGAGGAUGUGAGAUGAUGAGAAAGCGCCUACAGGCGGAGAGGACAUGAGGUAGGGGACGAGGGCAUGUGUCUGCGACGUAGCAUUAGGCUGCUGGUGACCUGGGGAUGCGUCAGGACCAGCAUCAUCUGCUUGCAGACCUCGGCUUGACUGCAGUUCUGGAUGACCGUCUUUCUCCCUCUGGGGACUCCUCCACAGCACUCCCCUCCCCACAGCACCCAGACUGCCCUCGUCGGUUGUCAGCCGCCUAAGACAGGGGCGGUGGGCACUCGAGGCAUCAUCCCAAGUUACAGCUGAAGCCGUCUAAAAAGAAAUUGGGAGAGUGACCACUGGCUUAUCUGCAGGACCGUCAAGCCCGGAAGUGGGCCAGAGGACCCCCCCCUCCUUCAGGAGACCACGCCUCUGUGGCGGGACAGCACUAGCUCAGGUGCCGAUGCUGCCCUUUCUACAGAUGACAGACCUGAGGCCUAAGGAGGUUGGAGAACACGCCUGAGCCUAAUAACGGGGGCCGGGCGGGGGGGAGCCCAGGUCAGAAGCCAGACAGCCUGCUCACCUAACUACCGUGCUCUGUUGCCUAACCCUAAGGGGUGAUUUUUGUGGUUACAGAGGAGGGCACAUCAGAGGGAUUUGGUUUUCACCCGAGAGCAAACACAGUAGCAACUGCUUAUUUCGUAUAAGUCAAGUUGGCUCUGGGUGAUAGUAUCCUUUGUUUUAGCAUUUCCCAAAAUGUGUCCCCUCCGGAAAA